CUCAUUCUGUCUUGCUGCCGCCAUGUAAGAAGUGCGUUUCACCCUCUGCCAUGAUUAUGAAACCUCCCCAGCCAUGUGGAACUGUGGGGUCUCCCUAUGUUGCCCAGGCUGAACUCCAACUCCUGGGCUCAAGCAAUGCUCCCAUCUCAGUCUCCCAAAGUGCUGAGAUUACAGUCUCGCUCUGUUGCCCAGUCUGGAGUACAGGUAUGAUCUUGGCUUACUGCAAGCUCCGCCUCCCAGGUUCAAGCAAUUCUUCUGCCUCAGUCUCCCAAGCAGCUGGGAUUAUAGGUGCUGUGCUGGAACCUAAGGGAUACAGCUAUGAACAAGACAGUCCUGCCUUUAUGGAGCUCACAAUCUGAAGAACAAUCCGGAUAACAGUGACCAACAAAGACGUGCAAAAUGUCAGAGGGCCACAAACUGCAGAGGCUUCCCGCUACCUGCCCCAGCCACUCCCGCCUCCUGGCUUGGUUUUCCAG
Molecule: long non-coding RNA, 476 nt
Filed under: Homo sapiens (human)
Lineage: Eukaryota; Metazoa; Chordata; Mammalia; Primates; Hominidae
Description: HSALNT0381831
Source: RNAcentral